ACUCCCCUUCAGCAGAGCAUCCACUACAGCUGGAACAAUACAGAUCACCAUGGCCCCUGCGCAAGGAUGACACCGUUGGGUAUUACCUGGAGUAAGAGGCU
Molecule: small nuclear RNA, 101 nt
Filed under: Mus spicilegus (steppe mouse)
Lineage: Eukaryota; Metazoa; Chordata; Mammalia; Rodentia; Muridae
Source: RNAcentral